GAUGAACGCUGGCGGCGGGCCUAAUACAUGCAAGUCGAGCGGCCUCUUGGGAUCUUGCUCCCAUAAGUUAGCGCGGGGCGGGUGAGUAACACGUGGGUAACCUACCUGUAAUACUCGGGGACCAUCGGGAAACCGGAGCUAAUAUCGGAUAACAUAGAAGAUCACAUGGCCUUCAAUUAAAAGAUGGACUUUGGCUACCACUUAGAGCUGGACCCGCGGCGCAUUAGAUAGUUGGUGAGGUGACGGAUCACCAAAGCGACGAUGCGUCUCCGAGCUGAGAGGGGGGGCGGGCCCACUGGGACGGGAACCAGGCUCAGACCCCUACCGGAGGCAACAGUAGGGAAACUUCCGCAAUGGACGGAAGUCUGACGGAGCAAAGCCGCGUGGGCGAAGGAAGGCUUCCGGUCGUAAAGCUCUGUUGUUAGGGAAGGACAAGUAUCAGGCGAAUACGGCGGUACCUUGACGGUACCUAACGAAAAAGCCACGGCUAACUACGUG
This 498-nucleotide ribosomal RNA is filed under the name uncultured bacterium. Its description in RNAcentral is "partial 16S ribosomal RNA". It matches the Rfam family "Bacterial small subunit ribosomal RNA", at positions 28 to 507 of the family's 1533-position model. The record is from RNAcentral.